GAGGGAAUAGCUCAGUGGUAGAGUGCAUGCACAAGGUCCUGGGUUCAAUUCCUAGUACUUUUG
Molecule: transfer RNA, 63 nt
Filed under: Camelus bactrianus (Bactrian camel)
Lineage: Eukaryota; Metazoa; Chordata; Mammalia; Artiodactyla; Camelidae
Also listed under: 2 other names
Rfam family: tRNA
About the family: Transfer RNA (tRNA) molecules are approximately 80 nucleotides in length. Their secondary structure includes four short double-helical elements and three loops (D, anti-codon, and T loops).
Source: Rfam by way of RNAcentral